Molecule: long non-coding RNA, 1329 nt
Filed under: Homo sapiens (human)
Lineage: Eukaryota; Metazoa; Chordata; Mammalia; Primates; Hominidae
Description: HSALNT0281610
Source: RNAcentral
GCUCCGCCUCCCGGGUUCAUGCCAUUCUCCUGCCUCAGCCUUCCGAGUAGCUAGGAUUACAGGCAUGUGCCACCACACCUGGCUAAUUUUGUAUUUUUGGUAGAGACAGGGUUUCUCUAUGUUGGUCAAGCUGGUCUGGAACUCCCGACCUCAGGUCAUCUGCCCACCUCAGCCUCCCAAAGUGCUGGGAUUACAGGGGUGAGCCACCGCACCCAGCGGGAUUCUGGCUUCUUCAUUUGAAGCCAGAAGUCACUAGAAAACAGAGAGUCCUUAGGUUGAGGCAGUCAAAGCACAGGUGUUUGAGAAGGGAGAAGGGAGGGAGAGGUGGAGAAAGCUAAGAUUUCAGACAUGGAGCAAAUUUGGCCAUUGGUGUGGGCUACUGGAGCCAUGGUAUCUGAGGAAAGUGCUAGGAGACUAGAGAGGUUUACACUGGGGGAAAAGAUGGCAGCAAGCACAUCAGCUAUAUCCAACUGUUUCAACUGUGGUUAUGUGCAAGAGAAAUUAGAUGUGUCUGUAGGAACUUAGUGGGGAAAACUAGGGCCAAUCAUGGGAGAUGAACCCUGUGAGGCAGAUAUUGCCCCUUAAUAGGUGUGCCUUCCACACCUAGAUCCAGGGGUUCGGGUGCAAAGUGACAAAUUGAGUGUAGAGACAGAUUAUCACCUCCCUUGUUCUAGCUUACAUACUUCUAUUAAUGCUGUGCAGCUGGAUAAUGCUUUGCUAUAUUAACUUAUAGAUUUUUUUUCUGUCUGUAUUAUCCCCUUCCUUUCCCAUUUGAACAUGCUCCCAGCCUCACUUAAUUUCACUGUUGACUCACCGUGCAUGUGGUACUUGAAGUCCUCACGGCUUUUUCAAAUGCACCUUGUUUAGCUUUCUCUCUCCAUCCUGUUUACUUGGGCCACAAGAGUUUGUGGGAGGGAAAGUAACUCCUCACUCCAGAAUUUAAGAUAAGGGAAAUAAGUUUGCCCCUGAGCAGUAAACUAAGCCAUCAACAUUUAAUGUGUCAGAACAGAGUCACCUUGAACGGAUGGAAUUCCCAGGCCAGUGAGACUUGGCUGCAGCCUGAUUGAAGUUGUUAGGAAAUUAGAAUGUGUCCAUCAGACAGCAGGCUGGGGAGGUCCUGGCUGGAUACCUUGCAUUUUUCCCUCCGGCAUCACUCUCCUUCCUCUUCCGCCUGUUCUGGCCCAGAUAAGAUGACCUGGCCUCAUGCUUUCCUGUAUUAGUCCGUUUCCACGCUGCUGAUAAAGACAUACCUGAGACUGGGCAAUUUACAAAAGAGGUUUAUUGGACUUACAGUUCCAUAUGGCUGGGAGGCCUCACAAUCAUGGCAGA